This 465-nucleotide ribosomal RNA is filed under the name Vreelandella stevensii. Its description in RNAcentral is "partial 16S ribosomal RNA". It matches the Rfam family "Bacterial small subunit ribosomal RNA", at positions 338 to 795 of the family's 1533-position model. Lineage: Bacteria; Pseudomonadati; Pseudomonadota; Gammaproteobacteria; Oceanospirillales; Halomonadaceae. The record is from RNAcentral.
CCUACGGGUGGCUGCAGUGGGGAAUAUUGGACAAUGGGCGAAAGCCUGAUCCAGCCAUGCCGCGUGUGUGAAGAAGGCCUUCGGGUUGUAAAGCACUUUCAGUGGGGAAGAAAGCCUUGGGGCUAAUACCCUCGAGGAAGGACAUCACCCACAGAAGAAGCACCGGCUAACUCCGUGCCAGCAGCCGCGGUAAUACGGAGGGUGCGAGCGUUAAUCGGAAUUACUGGGCGUAAAGCGCGCGUAGGCGGUCUGAUAAGCCGGUUGUGAAAGCCCCGGGCUCAACCUGGGAACGGCAUCCGGAACUGUCAGGCUAGAGUGCAGGAGAGGAAGGUAGAAUUCCCGGUGUAGCGGUGAAAUGCGUAGAGAUCGGGAGGAAUACCAGUAGCGAAGGCGGCCUUCUGGACUGACACUGACGCUGAGGUGCGAAAGCGUGGGUAGCAAACAGGAUUAGAUACCCCAGUAGUC